Molecule: ribosomal RNA, 254 nt
Filed under: uncultured bacterium
Lineage: Bacteria
Description: partial 16S ribosomal RNA
Rfam family: Bacterial small subunit ribosomal RNA
Source: RNAcentral
UACAUAGGGGGCGAGCGUUGUCCGGAAUGACUGGGCGUAAAGGGUGUGUAGGCGGUUUAUCAAGUUAGAAGUGUAAUACCUAGGGCUUAACUCAGGUGCUGCUUCUAAAACUGAUGGACUUGAGUGUGGGAGAGGAUGAUGGAAUUCCUAGUGUAGCGGUGGAAUGCAUAGAUAUUAGGAGGAACACCAGAGGCGAAAGCGAUCGUCUGGCCCACAACUGACGCUGAGGCACGAAAGCGUGGGGAGCAAACAGG